UAUCUCCCUCUAGAACUUACGGGAAUUAUCAUUCCCACUCCUUCUACACUUUCAUUUUUACACACAUACACUGCCAUGGAGUUACACACACACAACGAUGUUGUCAUCUCCUUCCGGCGACCGACUCCUUACUCCUCUCUCUCCCUAUUUCUCUCUCUCUCGUCGGCAAUUGAAGAAAUUUUCCAGAUUCUCCGUCGCCGUCUCCAGCUGCUUCAGUCGCUCCGACGCCGCUGCACAGAACCGUCGGCUUCUGCUCGCCGGGGUAACGACGCUGCCGUCGACGUCUGCUACAAGCUUCGUUCGCUGCUGUGCAGCCCCCUCCCCCGCCGGGAAGGUGCCGCUGUACCGCCGGGAAGACGCGACGCUGCUGCUGUCUCGCCGGGAAGACGCGACGCCGCUGUUGUCAGCAGCCUCCGUCGGUCAUUCUCUGCCACUCUGUUGCCCCGAUUUACCCCGAAACAGCCCCGACGCCUCUGAUACCAACCCGAUUCGUUAAAGGUAAGGUAACACAAGCAAGGAGGAACAAGAAUCUGGGAUUUCGAUGUCAAGGCUCGUUGGACUUGAGGUAGUAUAUUCUAUAUUAGGUCCUAAUUCUUGAAUUAAGUGCACGUAAUUGCAUUUUGAGUUUUUGCGUGCUAAAUUAUGAUACAAUACGUGAUUAUCAUAUAUUAUCUAUAGCUUGCAAAUAUGUGAGGGAGGCUGUGAAUGAUAAUAAUGAAUGCUUUGAAACUUACUACGUCUAUGUAAGGUGAUAUUGUGGGAAAACCAGUAAUUGACGUGAUAUGUUUUGGAAAUUGUUGGGCUGCUUGUUUGAAUAGGGAUAACAUAGAGUACUUAAAGAGGGCUUUGGAAGCUUGCUUUGCUAAUUUGAUUUAGUUUAGGGAUUAUGUAGCUGGGAGGCCCUUUGCUUAACCUUGUGCUAGUGUCAUUGUAUUCCACAGUUAAUUAUUUUCUUGAUCACAGUUCCUUUGUAUGCUUGUUAGUUUGACAUACAUACGAUAGACCAGAGGAAAUAGAAGGAAAAAAAAAAUACUCACUAGCUUUGGUUGAUCAUAUCUGUAACCAAACUCUGGUUUCAUUAGUUUUUUUUUUAAAUAGGCAAUCACAUUGAGUGAACAGUUACAUGGUUUCAAUUGCAAAACAUGUUGUCACAUUUGCUUUAUUUCUGGUUUACUUUAUCACAUUAUCAGGCUGUGUUGGAAACAGUAGCUAGAGUGAAGCCAAAGAAAGCAACGAGACAACUAUUGUGUCACGUUCUGGCAGCAUAUUUCGACUUCAGUUAACCAAGUAAACGACCUCAUUUUCUUACCAAAUUUUAGCUGAACAUAGUUUUGCGUGUCUUCUGCCUUGUGACCGAAAUUCAGCUUCAUCCGAGUUCAAAUAGAUUUAUAGUGAUUUUUCCAAUACAAUCUGCCCUGUUCAGGCUGGUUAGGGGGAAAACGAUUAUAAACUCUAAAUGACUAGGAAUUUCCAGCUCAAAAUUCAUCCCUACAAACUACACAUGUAUGAACUUAUUUUGCCUCUGAUUUUGUUGAGUUUCGACUUUCGAGUCGGUCUGAAUGAUUUUUCAUAGUUGGUCCAUUUUCUGUAAAAUCUUGGGAUAUGAUAACAGUUGAAAUGCUUAUGCUUUAACCUUAUUUUUUUGGACAAGUGUAUGAAGAUAUGAUUCCUAAUGUGAAAUCUUGAAGGAGAAAUAGUUGUUUUUGACUAAGCUAAUGUCUUGUAGGAUAAAUGCAUAAAUAAUAGACAAUAAUUAUGAAAUUAAGUUAGAAAAUAAUGGUUAAUAGUAUGAAUUUGAUACUUUAUAUGCGAAAGUGAAAUAUAUAUUGAAGGGUAAUCCUACCCCAGGAAAUAACAAGGACAAGGACAAGGAGCAGGAAUAAAGGGAUUCUUGUGUCAAGGGCGUUUUGGAUUUCAAGAUUAGAGGAUCAGACCUAGCUCUUUUGUUGUACAGCUGCUCAGCCAGGUCACUAGCCAGUCUUUUGAGUUCGAGUAAUUCUUGGAUAUGUUAGUUGUGGCAUGUAUAGAAAGUGUAAUGUAGUUUGGACGUUUCACUUACUUCGUUAUCCAGGUUGUAUAUAUAUAUAUAGACUUUUGGGAAACAGGUUUAUGGUCCAAUUUCAGACGUUAUAUAGCAGUUUUUCUGUUUGCUAAGUAAAUGAAAAAUUAAUUAAUCUAUAAACAAAAAAAAGAAUCAAGGAUUUUCUGUUAAGUCGGGAUUUGUACCGAAAGGUGACAUCACUUAUUCGAUUAUUAAAUUAAUUGGGUUAGGGGUGUUACAUGUUUUGGUAUCAGAGCCUAAGUUUAGGCGGUCCUAGGCUUGAGACGUGUUUAGAUGUGUCUAGAAACAUGCCACAUAGGAUAUUGAUUUGAGUCAUUGCUAGUGACCUGAUGUGUAUAUGUUUUCCUGAUGUGUACAUGUUUUUCUGGCUUCAAGACUUGACAGUUUUUAGUUUCUGAGUGAUACGGAAAACCUUUUUGUAUAAGGUUCGAAAUGGUGAAUUGAGGUUGAGUAGACCGAUGAUCCUAUAGUCAUUUGGCCGGCUAUUGAAAUAAAAAAAAGCUUGCAUCUGUUGCACUUUAAAUUGACUCUUCAACUUAUAUUAUAUACGAUGCCAGUCGUCGUCGUGUUCUUGCUUGCUGUCUUCCUCAAGUUUGGCUUGCCCUCGCUUUCUGAGUAGAACUUUCUCAACAACAUCACGAAAAAGUCCACUUUGGUUGCCCACUGAUCUGAUCAUCCAUCAAAACUAGGCUUUAAAGCUCCUUUAACUGAUACGGUGUAGUAAUAUGAAUAUGCCAAAUGAGAGUUAUCCUUUGUGAUCUCUUCCUUUGAGAAUUGUUGUUUGGGACCCUCCAAUGUGUUUGCCUUUUUGUCGACCCUAUAAGAUAAUUGAAGGAAGUGAUUUUUCCCUGUUAGUACUGUUACCUUGGAGAAAUUAUCUUCUUUGAUUAAUUCCUAAUCCGGGUCAUCUAAACAUUAAGUGUUUACUUAUCUACCACCACUGAGUCAAUAUUUUCUAUACAGAGUCUAGAGCUACUUGUAGUUUAUGUGAAACCUGAUUCUGACCCUUGAAACUUGGAAUACUUUUGGUUGAACCUUCUGUCCUUCGUGAUUUAUUGUCUCAAAUGACAAUAUUUCCGUAUUUGUGACACUUUGUCAAUAAAUUUUUGUCUGAAGUUGUUCGAGCUUAUGUCUUUUAUAAAUCUAUUCGAUAGUUGUUUUUAAGAGACAACACAUCAACCAUAAUAUCUUUGGUUGACCCCUUCGAUAUAAAUUAUUGGCGUUCUUUCCUGCCGAAAUUACACUGAUUCCUUUGCCUAACCCUAUUGUUUAAAUUGUCUUCUAUCUCGAGACCUUUCCUCAACUUGAGAUUUGAGUUGAUGUUUUACCUUUGUCUCCAAUAAAUCUGCUUCAAUCGUCAUCUCUAUGAGUUGUUUUUCUUUGAACUAUCAUCGAAACAUAUGGACCCAGCCAAUGAUAUGAUUUGUAUGUUCCUAUUGUUUCUUAACCAUGAUAUUUGUUAACUUAAGACCAAAUGUGGCUCAGAGAAUAUGCUAACCAGUCAUUGUUCUAUAGAAAUUUUUACCACCUCAAUCAUGCUUUUCUGACCUUUAGAUUAUUGACAAUUCGCUUAUGUCCUACAUAUGCUUAAAUUGUUCUGAAAUGUAAUAAAUAUCAUAUAUGGAGCAAAGUUUCCAUGUGACUGAGAAAGUAGUUAAGUGGAACUGGCCACUCCAUGUAACUCGAAUCUCAGUAGCGUCCUUCUUUGACAAACCGAGGGGUUUUAACUUUGAAGUCAUUUCAUUCUUACCAUCGGUUACCUUUUCCAAGUUUGUUCGGUAAUUAUUUGAUGAAAUCUUUUGAUCAGUCACUCUACUACAAUGUAUUAAAGGGAUCAUCUAUUUUCUCAUCAUUGCUGUUUCCUAUUAAUUUUCCAUUCCAUGGAAUUUGUGAAUCAACUCUUCCAAUUGGUAUCUUCAUGUCUUGAUCCGAAAUAUCUUUUUGUGAAAUCAUAUUCGUUGAACAUCUGAGAUGGUCAAUCUCUGAAUUUUCUUUUGAAGAUCAAGUUUAACCACUUAUUAUUCACUUGAUGCAUCCAAUAAGUUAAUGAUCCAUUUUUGCAUCAAUAAUUUCCUAAAUCAUGUGAACCGUAUUAAUCAAUCUCUGUGUCAAUCUAUGUCUCCUGUCAUCUAAUAUUUCUCGUACAUCUGCACUAGAAAGUCAUGCCUUAAUGGAUUUCUUUGUAUCUGAGUUUGGAUCACCUUGUCCAGGAUCUUCUGUUUUGGCUUACUAGGAGGCAAUAUGUGUUUCCAUACCUAUUUCUUCCAUAAUGUGUAACCUUCUAUAAUUCGAUAUUGUUCUGUACCCUUGCCUAUUGGAGUUGGUGAUAUUUUUGACCAUCUGAUGUUAGUUUCUGCUACCAGAACUUCUAUCAAAUCAAAGAUAAACUAGUCUGUUCUUCCUGGAUUUACCAUUUUGAAAGUCUUUGUCCCAUGUUUCUUAACGCUUAUAUGUCUUUGCUUGAACCUUGUAUGUCUGACGGUUUUGAAUUUCGUUAACUAAUAUUUAUAUGUGCUAUUAAAAUAACUUCACAGUUAUUUAUUAAUGUGCGAAUCUGUAACUUCAUGCUAGAUUAGUUCAGAAUUUAAAACUCCCAUAAGAUUGUUUGUUAGAAAUAUUAUAUAUACAAUUUGCCUGGGUUUAAGACUGCAAUCUUCCUUUUAUGUUGCAAUCUUUGGCUGUCAGAACUGUGUUUGUAAAGUUAAGAUUAACUAUAGGAGUACUUUGACACAUUGAUGUGCUGAGGUAAACGAUGUGCCCUUGAUCUGUUAUUUUAUUUAAAUGGCAGUAUUUGAUUAUGACUUCUUUUGGGGACGAGUGAGAUUAGGAGAUUACCUUAAAGGAGUGGCACAGAAGUGCCUAACCCGACAUAUUGAUUUAGAUGAAAUUUCGAGGACGAAAUUUUUUUUAGGAGGGAAGAGUUGUAAUGAUCCGAAAUUCUGUAACUCAGAAAUUAGUUAAAAUUUGUUAGGUUUUUUAAUACAAUAUUUAAGUUGUAAGGUGUCGGAUUAGUAGGGAAAUAAAUAAGUAUAAAUGUAUUUUGAAAAAGAUAUAAAAAAAUGAAUAAAAAAAAGAGAAGAAGAAAAAAGAAAAGGAAAUUAGAAAGGGAGGAGAAAUAUCUCCCUCUAGAACUUACGGGAAUUAUCAUUCCCACUCCUUCUACACUUUCAUUUUUACACACAUACACUGCCAUGGAGUUACACACACACAACGAUGUUGUCAUCUCCUUCCGGCGACCGACUCCUUACUCCUCUCUCUCCCUAUUUCUCUCUCUCUCGUCGGCAAUUGAAGAAAUUUUCCAGAUUCUCCGUCGCCGUCUCCAGCUGCUUCAGUCGCUCCGACGCCGCUGCACAGAACCGUCGGCUUCUGCUCGCCGGGAUAACGACGCUGCCGUCGACGUCUGCUACAAGCUUCGUUCGCUGCUGUGCAGCCCCCCCCGCCGGGAAGGUGCCGCUGUACCGCCGGGAAGACGCGACGCUGCUGCUGUCUCGCCGGGAAGACGCGACGCCGCUGUUGUCAGCAGCCUCCGUCGGUCAUUCUCUGCCACUCUGUUGCCCCGAUUUACCCCGAAACAGCCCCGACGCCUCUGAUACCAACCCGAUUCGUUAAAGGUAAGGUAACACAAGCAAGGAGGAACAAGAAUCUGGGAUUUCGAUGUCAAGGCUCGUUGGACUUGAGGUAGUAUAUUCUAUAUUAGGUCCUAAUUCUUGAAUUAAGUGCACGUAAUUGCAUUUUGAGUUUUUGCGUGCUAAAUUAUGAUACAAUACGUGAUUAUCAUAUAUUAUCUAUAGCUUGCAAAUAUGUGAGGGAGGCUGUGAAUGAUAAUAAUGAAUGCUUUGAAACUUACUACGUCUAUGUAAGGUGAUAUUGUGGGAAAACCAGUAAUUGACGUGAUAUGUUUUGGAAAUUGUUGGGCUGCUUGUUUGAAUGUAGGGAUAACAUAGAGUACUUAAAGAGGGCUUUGGAAGCUUGCUUUGCUAAUUUGAUUUAGUUUAGGGAUUAUGUAGCUGGGAGGCCCUUUGCUUAACCUUGUGCUAGUGUCAUUGUAUUCCACAGUUAAUUAUUUUCUUGAUCACAGUUCCUUUGUAUGCUUGUUAGUUUGACAUACAUACGAUAGACCAGAGGAAAUAGAAGGAAAAAAAAAAUACUCACUAGCUUUGGUUGAUCAUAUCUGUAACCAAACUCUGGUUUCAUUAGUUUUUUUUUAAAUAGGCAAUCACAUUGAGUGAACAGUUACAUGGUUUCAAUUGCAAAACAUGUUGUCACAUUUGCUUUAUUUCUGGUUUACUUUAUCACAUUAUCAGGCUGUGUUGGAAACAGUAGCUAGAGUGAAGCCAAAGAAAGCAACGAGACAACUAUUGUGUCACGUUCUGGCAGCAUAUUUCGACUUCAGUUAACCAAGUAAACGACCUCAUUUUCUUACCAAAUUUUAGCUGAACAUAGUUUUGCGUGUCUUCUGCCUUGUGACCGAAAUUCAGCUUCAUCCGAGUUCAAAUAGAUUUAUAGUGAUUUUUCCAAUACAAUCUGCCCUGUUCAGGCUGGUUAGGGGGAAAACGAUUAUAAACUCUAAAUGACUAGGAAUUUCCAGCUCAAAAUUCAUCCCUACAAACUACACAUGUAUGAACUUAUUUUGCCUCUGAUUUUGUUGAGUUUCGACUUUCGAGUCGGUCUGAAUGAUUUUUCAUAGUUGGUCCAUUUUCUGUAAAAUCUUGGGAUAUGAUAACAGUUGAAAUGCUUAUGCCUUAACCUUAUUUUUUUGGACAAGUGUAUGAAGAUAUGAUUCCUAAUGUGAAAUCUUGAAGGAGAAAUAGUUGUUUUUGACUAAGCUAAUGUCUUGUAGGAUAAAUGCAUAAAUAAUAGACAAUAAUUAUGAAAUUAAGUUAGAAAAUAAUGGUUAAUAGUAUGAAUUUGAUACUUUAUAUGCGAAAGUGAAAUAUAUAUUGAAGGGUAAUCCUACCCCAGGAAAUAACAAGGACAAGGAGCAGGAAUAAAGGGAUUCUUGUGUCAAGGGCGUUUUGGAUUUCAAGAUUAGAGGAUCAGACCUAGCUCUUUUGUUGUACAGCUGCUCAGCCAGGUCACUAGCCAGUCUUUUGAGUUCGAGUAAUUCUUGGAUAUGUUAGUUGUGGCAUGUAUAGAAAGUGUAAUGUAGUUUGGACGUUUCACUUACUUCGUUAUCCAGGUUGUAUAUAUAUAUAUAGACUUUUGGGAAACAGGUUUAUGGUCCAAUUUCAGACGUUAUAUAGCA
Salvia splendens (bonfire salvia) is the source of this 7307-nucleotide long non-coding RNA. RefSeq lists it as uncharacterized. The record is from RefSeq and is a predicted model, not a curated record. The transcript has 3 exons. Lineage: Eukaryota; Viridiplantae; Streptophyta; Magnoliopsida; Lamiales; Lamiaceae.